UACGUAGGGGGCAAGCGUUGUCCGGAAUUAUUGGGCGUAAAGCGCGUGUAGGCGGCUUUGUAAGUCGGGUGUGAAAGCCCUCAGCUCAACUGAGGAAGUGCGCCCGAAACUGCAUGGCUUGAGUACCGGAGAGGAUGGUGGAAUUCCCCAAGUAGAGGUGAAAUUCGUAGAUAUGGGGAGGAACACCGGUGGCGAAGGCGACCAUCUGGACGGAUACUGACGCUGAGACGCGAAAGCGUGGGUAGCAAACAGG
This 253-nucleotide ribosomal RNA is filed under the name uncultured bacterium. Its description in RNAcentral is "partial 16S ribosomal RNA". It matches the Rfam family "Bacterial small subunit ribosomal RNA", at positions 524 to 776 of the family's 1533-position model. The record is from RNAcentral.